GUGAAUCAUCGAAUUUUUGAACGCAAAUUGCACUCUCCGCGGAGAGUAUGCCUGUUUGAGGGCCAGCCUAUAAAAAAUCGACAUCGUUUCUGUUUCGCGGUGAGGUUCGUCGGAAAGUUUUGCAUCUUAAAUCCUUUUGGUGUUAAGCGACUUAAACAUUUCUUUUUGGUUCCAUGAACGUUUCUAAGAUUUGUUUCUUUACACGUUGAAGGUAUCGAUUUUUAUUAGACUUGACCAUCAUAUCGGAUGAC
RNAcentral lists this unclassified non-coding RNA (251 nucleotides) under Glomus sp. RNAcentral describes it as "partial contains 5.8S ribosomal RNA and internal transcribed spacer 2". The stretch from base 1 to 65 matches the Rfam family "5.8S ribosomal RNA", at positions 84 to 154 of the family's 154-position model. The record is from RNAcentral. Lineage: Eukaryota; Fungi; Glomeromycota; Glomeromycetes; Glomerales; Glomeraceae.